UUACAUUUAAGUGAAGAACAACAGUGAUAAAUCCAUUAUCUUGAAAAUAUUCUGGUCAUAAAAAAUAUUUGACGAGAGAGUCAACAAGAUCAUGUUGUUAGGAAAAUGUUCCAAGAGUCUGUGUUCUUUUGCUACUCGCUAUUCUUUUCCUGUUUCGAUGUUUCAUUUAUCUCUUCAUAUGAGUUUUAAAAACUUUUUCCUUGGAGAUUUUCAUUCUUCAGUCCUCCGAUGUCGUAUCUACAUGUUUUAUAGAGUUGCUUUUAUAUAUUCCUCACCCUGGAUUUGAAAUACCAAGUGUCAGUCACUCUUAAUUUUAUGCUGAUCUGAGAUCUCCAUGUUGAACAUCAUAUUUUUACUUGUUUUGUUCAUAGAUUUUCCAGUUGCACCACACUUUAAAAUCAUUUGAAUUUUAUCAAAUUUUAAAUUAUAUUAUAUCUAGCUUUGAAGUUUUAUGGAAGAAAAUAUUUAGGUACAGAACAUAUGGCACAGUAAAAUCAAUUUUUUUUUUAUUAAUUUUGACAAAGACCAAAUGGAGAAUUGAGAUUCUGCACUCCUCUUGUGAACCAUUGCGGAAGGCAAGGGUACUACAAAAAGAGAAUCGUUUACCUCGGAGCCAAUUUUUCAAGACCAUUCCUUGUAGUAAUUUUAUGUCAAUAUGGUUAGUGAAUUAAAUAUUGAUUAUUUUGAGGCUAUAUUGUUUACUUCAACUAUUUUUUUUUCCUUAUAUCUUUGAGUUUGUUUACCUACUUAAAUUCUUAUAUACGUUUUCUACUAAUUUUUAGUAAAGAUUAAGUUCAAAAGAAUGUAACAUAAUGAAAAAUUGUUGUAAUUUGACGUCGAACUUACUGCUUCCCUUUGUUUACUUCAACUAUUUUUUUUUCCUUAUAUCUUUGAGUUUGUUUACCUACUUAAAUUCUUAUAUACGUUUUCUACUAAUUUUUAGUAAAGAUUAAGUUCAAAAGAAUGUAACAUAAUGAAAAAUUGUUGUAAUUUGACGUCGAACUUACUGCUUCCUUUUUAGCUAUGUCUUACCUCUUGUGCCAUUGUGAUUGCAAUCACUGCCUAAUAUAAGAAGAAAGUGAUGGUAAAUAGUCAAUAUAUGGUCAUUUCAUGCAAGAAUGGAUGCAGAAGCUUAGGCAGAGUGUGUACUUUGCGUUGGAAGGGUUGCACCUAGCCGUUAAGUUGGUUAGGUUUUAUUUAAGAAGAAUAGUUUCAUGUUGCUCAGUUUAGUCCAAUAGGUUUUAAAGUUGUUUCUAUUAUUAUCAAAAUUGCCCGAUAUGUUUGAGCAUUGGAUACUUUAGGUCCAAUUGCUGGCCACUUAUGCUUCUAUUUAAGUAUUGUAUUUGUCCUUGUUGAAUUGAAGCAGAGAAUUGUUUAGCUAAAUAGAGCAUAGCUUGUUUCUUACUCUUUUUCUUUUCCUUUCUUUCUUUUCUUAGCUUCUUACUCUUCCAUUACUGUCUUAUUACUUUUCAAUGUUGUCCUUAGCUUAAUUGUAUCAUCAUUCUUGAUUGUAUGAUUUGUAUCCAUAAGUCAUUUUGAAUCGUGAAAUGAUUAUCAGUUAAGAACAAAUUUUAGAGAGGAUUUAGUUAGCAUGCUUAUGAAGUCGUAAAGUCUUAAACCUUUCCCAUCAUAAAAAAGUUAUGGUCGCUUUUUGGGAGUUUUCCGCUGAAUCAUAUGCUUCAUUUAAGGGAGAUUUGAUUUGUCUAUAUUUGAUCCUUCAAUUUCUUAUGUUUAUCUCUUAUGUCUAUUAUAAUUAUUAAAGUGUUCAUUUGAUAUAUGCAGAUGGAAGGCCUUGGAUUGUGUAGCUCUUAGAAAGAGUUGUGUCAUUCUUCAAGGAUCACAAAGGUUCGAUAUACUUAAUAAAAUCUUUUUUUUAAUUAUUUGCUAUGCUAUGUAAUUUUUAUAUCUAUUUGUCACGGUUGUUGCCUUUUUAGGGGGCUAUUGGUUUGAGUUAAAUGACAAUCAUCAUGUUAAUAAAAAAAUUCUCUCGGAAUUACUUUGAUAAAUUAUUUUAGAAGGUCAUUUUAUUCUUGAAAUACCAAUGAUUGUGAGAUGGAUUCUUUCUCCUAAAUUCUAAUGAUGUGUAUAUUGAUCAAUAACAUCAUAUGGGCACAACUUAGAUUUCUACUAUGACUGGUAUAAUUUAAAAAUUAAAGCCCUACCUUCUUUUACCAAGUAAUGUUAUUGCAAGAUUUUACGCUCUCAAAGCUGACAUACUACAUGAUCUUCUUUUUCAUUGAAGGUUUGGUGUUAGAUAUGUCAAAUAAAUAUAUCUUUAAGUUCAACAACAACCAUGAUAGUAAGUGCGAUAUUGUUGUGUCGGAAAAUGCGUAUGCGAAUGUUUAAUAUU
RNAcentral lists this long non-coding RNA (2350 nucleotides) under Solanum tuberosum (potato). RNAcentral describes it as "long non-coding RNA (STUB_LNC000158)". Lineage: Eukaryota; Viridiplantae; Streptophyta; Magnoliopsida; Solanales; Solanaceae. The record is from RNAcentral.